AUGGAGGGUGGACCUGGUUACCUGUUCCAUCGAAAGAACAAUGUGGGUUUCGCCUUGUUUCGGUGCGAUCGGAUUACCGACGGAGAUGAAAAUAUCUCAAGCCCUCCUCGAUUCCUUUCACUCCCCCACGACCCCGCCGCCGCCGCCUCCUCUCCUGCUGCCGCCGCCGCGCCACCACAGCCACCUCCUCUCAUCUCUGCCUUCUCUCCUGCUGCCCCCGCCGCGCCACCGCAGCUGCCUCCUCUCAUCUCUGCCUCUCCUGUUGCCCCCGCCGCGCCAGGGCCUCGCCUCGCCCUCAAGUGCACCGUCGACCUCCCAGACCUUGUUCUCCGCCUCGUCGCACUGACCAUCUUGAGCUCGAGCCGAGGAGCGGCCCGUGUCGCGUGGUGGCCAGAUGCGGCGGCCCCAUGCUCAAGCGCGGUGCUGCAAAAUGAUGGAUCUAUCACUUCUCUCCUCGUUCGGUCAGAAGGAGCAGUGAGACCGGAGCUGCGGAGAGCCGGAGUCAGGGACAAGAAGCAGCAGGGACCGGGCUUCCGCUGCAGUGGAGUGGAGCUGCAGGGAGAGGAAGGAAGCACCAGAAUUGUGCAGGAUGUCUGUGUGUGUGUGUUGUGCUUGGAGUGCAGUAGUACCAGGGCUCCUAUCGCUGCCAGUACCCCGACGGUGAAGGCCAUGGCGGUGGUCAACCUGCUGUUCUCAAUCUUUCAGAACUCCAGCUGCGUCGCUUGGUGCUUCUCGGCCAUUCUCUGUUCGGAGUCGGGGACAAGAAGCAGCAGGGACCGGGCUCCCGCUGCAGUGGAGUGGAGCUGCAGGGAGAGGAAGGAAGCCGGUGACAGAAGAAAAGAAGAUGCCGGCUCUGGUUCAUCAUGGAGAAACAGCUGCUCGCCCUCCUCCGCCUCUUCCCUAACCAUGGGUUCGUGUACCAAAUUAUGUAGCUUGCUUCUGAUCCAUGUGCUCAUCUCCGUUUCCAUGUCUUGUUUUUUUCAGAGACAAUGCCAACGAAUUGUCGGUCACGGGUACCGAGUCACUCUCAUUGAAGUUGUUACCUUUGUUUCUUUGUUAAACAACACUCUGCUGGUCUUGCUAUUCGCCAUUUUCCUCCCCACUAUAAUGCUGCCACUCUGUGAUGCCUCGGCAAGAAGGCCAAUCGCAGGGAGAUACGCCAUGGCAUGUCCUGAAGAGGCAAUCAGCCUCUGGUGGCUGCUGCAUGCAGAGCGGGUGCGCCAGUUCUUUGUUCCUCUCACUGGGCGGUUGUUUCAUUUUGUCUACAGCAAUGGGGUUGCUUCCUCUGCUCCGUUCGUGUGGUUGAUGUAUUUCGGUGGCCUCAAGCCCUCAACCCUCUGGAUCAUCCGUCCGCUGUGCGUGCUCUCAUCCGGGUUGCCGAGGGACGCCUCCUCCUGCGGCGCUCCUGUCCAAUUUUUUGUUUAUCUUCAGGUAUCUGCUUUAUGUGGAAAUAUGCCAAUGGAUAAUAUCCUCCGGAUUAACAAGUUCCUGUGUGCUGCUGCUCUUAUUAUCUACCUGGGUUUGUUUGUUUGGGCUGCCAUUUCCAUGGCUGAAGCUGAAGGAGCGGCUGUAGCUGGUAAUGAAGAGAGGCACUUUGCAUUUCUCCACCAGAAGUAUAGAUCGGUAAAGUACAGAGAAGCUUCAGAGCAUGGUAGCAUUGUUUAUGAGAAGAAUCCAGGACGGACUGACAACCUACUUCUUCUUGGAGUUAUCUACUGCCAGUUUAUGACUUGGUGCUAGCCGGAGCUUUUAUUUUCUACCAAAACUACUAUUAACAAAAGAACUCUAGCGAUCCAGGAUUUUAUCCUAAGCUGCUAUUAAACUCACAAAAGGGAGCAUUUAAUAACAAAAGAACUCUAGCCAUGCUUUUUGAUAUACUACGCAUAUGUAUGAUGUACUAGCAGUUCCUAUUUUUUAACUAUUGUGUACCAGAGAAUUGAAUUAGCUAUUUCUGCAUAAAUAUGAUGUAUGAAAUUAUGUCAUGAGAGGGAUGUGUUCAUUUUCAAAACUAAGUUGGAUGAGCUUAAAGCACUUAUUCACCAGUACAAGUUAAAUAUGCUUUUAAAGUUUUAAAUACAUUUAUUUUUUUAGAGUACAUCAUCUUUUAUUUCUAAAGGAAUACUGGAUAUGCUCAUUUCUAUAGCCACAGUACAAGUUAAACCAUCCCAACUCCAUAGCAGAGCUACUCCAAACAGAACUGGAAUGAUUAUAUUUUUUUAUGGAUUUUACAAAUUCAGCAGGUUGAGCAUUUUUUUUUUUGUGAUUUUCAUACUCAGCGACAACUUGACUUAGCAUAAUAUGUUUAUUUCUGAACUUGGUAGAUCAAAUCACCCAGGAAAGCACACAAGCAAACUGUUGGAUUGAUGAACAGUAUACUACUCCUUGGUCCAGAGGUUACACGGGUGGCGUCACAACGACAGCUGACGGAACAGAGGAAGGCGACCUCGGUCCAAAAGUUUGAUGCAUGCUUGGUGUCCAGGAAUCGAAUCAGAAUGACAGCCGGAGCUCAACAGAGUUAGGGAAACUACCUAGGAUCAAGGACUCACUAAAAAAAUAAGGCGAUUCACGGCGGCGUCCAGCGGGCCUGCAUGUUGGACCCUGAGCGUGGACGUCAAGUCGGACAGAGGGCUGGUGGAUCCCGCCUGUUCCUACGGCUGGAGUUGCAGCUGUGAGCAGCGGCGUCCCCGACGGGGUCGACUAGAAGGAGGAUCCAGGAGGAAGAGGAAAUGGAUUGAGGAGGGAGGUAGUGAAGUGGAGUAGGGGUAAAACGUGAAGGGGCAUGGAGUAGCGGGCGCGUGUCCCGCGAGUUGGCGCUGCCAGCCUGACUGGCGGGUUCGCCAGAAGGACCCAUUGGUCAGUAGCAAAGGGAGAGGUUGAAAGAAAAAUAAAUAAAAAUAAAAAAUUGAAAAUGGCUGGAAUAUCUAAUCCUCCUCUACUCCCUCAUAAUCUACUCGGAAUUAAUUUCAUGGCUCAAAACUCAUCAGUAAUAUCUUGGAAAAUUUCACAUAUGCUACUACUUAUAUAAUAUAACUGUGAAAAUGUUCAAGACUUUUCAGAAGGGCCC
RNAcentral lists this ribosomal RNA (3064 nucleotides) under Triticum aestivum (bread wheat). RNAcentral's name for it is "partial small subunit ribosomal RNA". The record is from RNAcentral. Lineage: Eukaryota; Viridiplantae; Streptophyta; Magnoliopsida; Poales; Poaceae.